RNAcentral lists this ribosomal RNA (354 nucleotides) under uncultured bacterium. RNAcentral describes it as "bacterial SSU rRNA". It matches the Rfam family "Bacterial small subunit ribosomal RNA", at positions 8 to 350 of the family's 1533-position model. The record is from RNAcentral.
AGAGUUUGAUCAUGGCUCAGGAUGAACGCUAGCUACAGGCUUAACACAUGCAAGUCGAGGGGAAACGACAUCGAAAGCUUGCUUUUGAUGGGCGUCGACCGGCGCACGGGUGAGGGGUAACGCGUAUCCAACCUGCCCACCACUUGGGGAUAACCUUGCGAAAGUAAGACUAAUACCCAAUGACGUCUCUAGAAGACAUCUGAAAGAGAUUAAAGAUUUAUCGGUGAUGGAUGGGGAUGCGUCUGAUUAGCUUGUUGGCGGGGUAACGGCCACAAGGCGACGAUCAGUAGGGGUUCUGAGAGGAAGGUCCCCCANAUUGGAACUGAGACACGGUCCAAACUCCUACGGGAGGCA